This 2952-nucleotide long non-coding RNA is filed under the name Mus pahari (shrew mouse). RNAcentral describes it as "predicted gene 15226 (MGP_PahariEiJ_G0006516.1)". The record is from RNAcentral. Lineage: Eukaryota; Metazoa; Chordata; Mammalia; Rodentia; Muridae.
ACUCUCUGAUAGGGAGAGAAUGAUACAGAAACAAUAAAGGGAAAAACUGGUUCCUUUUGCUCAAGAAAAUGAAAUCUCUGGCUUGGGUGGAAAUAGAAACAAGUUAAUCCAGGGAGGACAAUAAAUCACCGGAUUACGGAGACACCCCUCAGGAAGGCCAGACACCCCUCCUUAAGCCAGGAGGAAGAGAUAAGUGCAGUAAUUAUGGCUUUAAUGAGACAAUGAACUUUUACUUCCCAGAAUUUCCUCCCCCAUCACAGUCCUUAAGAUCCGUCUUGAUGUUCUGGUGUUCCUGUUGCUUAUCCCACAGUCCAAACGUGCCUUUGGUGGAAAAUGAAACCUGGAAGUUCAUCCAUGAAGCAAAAGCUCCAUCAGGAGUAUCAGCUGACUGCCUCAAACUCUCCAGUUGAUUUUUGCUCCACACAGUGAGCACCCCAUUUGAUGGUGUUAUCGCCAUCUGUUGCCCUGAACUCUCUCAGCUGAGAACUUCAGCUGCGAAUUUCCUCUGUUUCUGCUGGAUAUUGUGAAUACCUAAUUUAAUGAUGUUUUGCACUCUGUCUCUCCAUCUCUCUGUCUCUGUCUGUGUCUCUCUCUUUCUCUCCUUCCCUCCUUCUCUCCCUUCCCUUUUCUCUCUCCUGCAAAACUAAGGGCCAUAAAAUACAUGCGCCUUAAUUUUUUUUUUUUUUGAGACAGGGGAUCUCACUGGACCAGCGGGCUAUAGGAAUCAUCAUUCCUCCUCCUUAGUGCUGGCAUUCCAGGCAUACCCAGCUUUUCAAAUGGGUGCUAGGGAUCCAAAAUCCAGUCCUCAUGCUUGAGAAGCACCUAUUUGACCAAUUAAGUCUUGAGAUGGACUGAUUUGUACAUCAACUCUGAGUUUGAUCUCAAAUGGAAAUGGGCGAUUCCUAAGCAAAAAGGCAUAAGAAAAAUGUCUGUCCUGGCCUAUGACCAUCAUCUGGAUGUAUCUUAGACACCUCUAACUAUAGAAAACAUUAGUAACCCAGGGGCCUGGUGGCUGUCUCCGCAAUCGAUCAAAACAUGUGCACCCAGGUCACCUUGCCUGCUGAUUGAGUUGGGACAUGAUUUAAGAGACCCACUGUUAAGAGAAAUUACUUUUCUUCUGACAGUGGACUCUAAGACCAAAAUACUCAGGCCACUCUGACACCCUUCUGGGUGGUAUUCUAGGAUGCUCCAAGCAACCCCCCUCCCUACUGUCCUUCACACACUUCCACUCCAGCUUUGCCUAACAUUGUCUAUAUUUUCUCCCGUGGGCAUUUUCCUUAAUAUAAUCCUUGUUCCUUUUCGGAUAGACCAAGCUUAAUCCACACCCCUCUCUAGAUCUUGCUUCAGUUUGCUAGUCCAGGGGUGCAUUUUUCUCCUGUGCUGUUUUGCACUUUGCCAAGGACCAGCCUCUGCUUGGAGAAGGGUUCUGAGAGAUGGGGGUGUUUGAGAGCAGAGAAACAAAUGAUUCAAAGUCAACUCAUGGUGGCCUAUGCUCUGCUCAAGCCAGCUUUCCAGACGGCUUUCUCUCUGUUCUGCUUUGCCUGGAGAUCUCCAGAUAGCUCUUUCUCUGUUUUCUCAUCGAGACAGUUUUCCAAGUAGUUCUCUCUUGUUCUAAAACACUCUCUGGAUAGCUCAUCUAGUGGAGAGCAUAAGCCCACUCUUUUAUUUUACAUAUUAAUUCAGUCAUUUACUGCAGGUUCCCUUUUGAUUAUUCUACAAAUCAGCACUCAAAGACCUCAGUGUCUCAAUUCUUAUUAGACAGCAAGCACACUUUUUUCUUUAACCUUGCAAAAGAAUUCAGAGAUCUGUCUGCCUUUGUUAAGCACAGAGGAUAAGCUAGCUGGGUGCAGCCUCGCCCUGAAACUACCAUUUCUACCAUGCCUGGCCCUGGACCUAAAUUCUCAGGCUGACUUUGAACUCAGGAAUCUGUCUUUGUAAAUAUAAACAAACAAACAAACAAACAAACAAAAAAACUUAGCUGGGUGGGAUCUCCUGAGCUCACCACUCCCUAAAUCUCUUCAUCUCCUUCCUUAGUAUCUUUCUGACAAGUUGGUUCUCAGUGCAGCUGCUUUUGUUCCUUUACAUUCCUAAAGCCCCUCAUAUAAUUCAUAUUACAUCCUUAUAUUUUGCAUAGUUGAGAAAUUGUAUACUUUUGGGUUCAUUAAUUUGGAAUUCUUUCCCACAGCCUUAAGGGCUGUCCUGAAGGUCUCAUUGUUCACCAUUGUGCUGAGACAGUAGCCACACCUUCGCCUUCCAGACUCAUGCUGUCUCUGAUUACCAUGGAGACACUAACAUUAAUGGGGAGGAUGACAUUCCAUAAAAGAAUGAGGAAAUACAUACAUUAUUAUACAAACAAGCCUUAUGCCCAAAGCAGCCUCGUGGAGACCUGUACCCUGAUGCCCCUGUUCCAGGUGCUGGACCCAUAUCAUUCCAACCCUUACCAAAGCUAUGCUGGACCCAGCAGUAUUUCACGCCAGCUUUAUUGGAACAGUAAGUUUCUUUCAUCCAGAUUCUCUGUUCUGAUUAUUAACAAACCUUGGUCUUUUUCCUCAAUCAUUUCUGUUUGUGGUAUACCCUGCCUGUGAUGAUUGUUGUGCUGGCUAAUUUUAUGUCAAUUUGAUACAAACUAGAGUCAUUAGAUAGGAGGAAACAUCAAUUGAAAAGAUGCCUCCCUAAGACAGAUAUGUAGGCAAGCCUAUAGGACACUUUCUUAAUUGGUGAUCCAUGAGGGAGAUUGCAGCUUAAUGGGGGUGGUGCCAUUCCUAAUCGGAUGAUCCUAGGUUCUAUAAGAAAGCAGGUUGAGCAAGCCAUGAGGAGCAAGCCAGUAACCAGCAAAACUCCAUGGCCUUUGCAUCAGCUCCUACCUCCAGGUUCCAGUUCUGAAUUUCUGUCCUGACUUCCUUCAAUAAUAAACAGUUAUAAGGAGUGUAAGCCAAAUAAACCUCUUCUUAC